This 342-nucleotide unclassified non-coding RNA is filed under the name soil metagenome. Its description in RNAcentral is "partial contains 5.8S ribosomal RNA, internal transcribed spacer 2, and large subunit ribosomal RNA". The stretch from base 1 to 120 matches the Rfam family "5.8S ribosomal RNA", at positions 35 to 154 of the family's 154-position model. The record is from RNAcentral.
GAUGAAGAACGUAGCGAAAUGCGAUAAGUAAUGUGAAUUGCAGAAUUCAGUGAAUCAUCGAAUCUUUGAACGCACAUUGCGCCCGCCAGCAUUCUGGCGGGCAUGCCUGUUCGAGCGUCAUUUCAACCCUCGAGCCCCCCCGGGGGCCUCGGUGUUGGGGGACGGCACACCAGCCGCCCCCGAAAUGCAGUGGCGACCUCGCCGCAGCCUCCCCUGCGUAGUAGCACACACCUCGCACCGGAGCGCGGAGACGGUCACGCCGUAAAACGCCCAACUUCUUAGAGUUGACCUCGGAUCAGGUAGGAAUACCCGCUGAACUUAAGCAUAUCAAUAAGCGGAGGA